CUUCACUGGAAACAUACGCCACCACAGGAAGACCCCAGGGGCUGGGCAGCUUCCCCCUCCUUCCAACUUCUCUGCUCUAGACAAAAGGAGAGGCACCCUGCCUUGACACCUGUCAACACAUUAGGUGUCAAAUAAGCUGGCUUUCAACCUGGACCUGCAGGUGGUUUGUUGGUUUGUGCUUCACUCUGAGCCCCAGAAGAAUCUGAAGAGGCGAGGGAGGAUUGAAGGAUUGAAGUGGCCCUCCAGCUCAGUACAGAUCCCAGCUCAUCUCUCUCCCACACGGAGCCCAAGUCCCAGCCCCGGUCCAUCUGCACCAGCAGGCACCUCAGCUGGGAGUGCUGCGAGCCCCAGCCUCCUUCUGUUCAGACGGUGGUUGGGAGAUGUGAGCCAAUCCAGCCAUCUUGUACUGCGGAUCCAGGGCUGAGUGAACGCCUGCCAUCUGUAGUGGCGGCCAGCGAUGAGCCUUUAGCCAGCCUACACUGCGUCAGCAGCAGCCCUGUGCUCCAUCUUGAGGGAAAAGCAGAAGAGAGUGAUGUUUACCUAUUCACACCUCUGAUGAGAGCCGGAGAAUUGAAUUUGUGCUGAGAGUGGAAUAAUUGAUUUGGACGGCUGCCAUGAUGGAAACAUCUGGGUUCACCAACUAACCUUGUCAUGAAAUAAGUGAAGACACUGAAAGGCUGUCAAUUACAUGUGAAUUACCCUGUAAAUAAAUCUAAUAUCUACAAAUUAGCAAGAGAUGAUUGUAGUAUGUUUAUUAUGUUGA
Tachysurus vachellii is the source of this 763-nucleotide long non-coding RNA. RefSeq lists it as uncharacterized. The record is from RefSeq and is a predicted model, not a curated record. The transcript has 4 exons. NCBI's taxonomy places the organism in Eukaryota, Metazoa, Chordata, Actinopteri, Siluriformes, Bagridae.